GACAUGAGCAAGUGCUUUAACAUCGCUGAGCCUCAGAUUUCUUAUCCAUAAAAUGAUGUGAUAGUAGUACCUAAUUUAUAAAGUUAUGUACCAGUCCGGGAAAGAUUGGAAUUUUAAAGCCAGCUCUUCAGCAUGCAUCAUUUGAGAGGCACUGAUCUAGACCAGCCCAGGAGACCUGCCUUGUGGAAGCCAAAUAUCCCUUUACUGAGAGAAGUCCGUCUGGAUCCUCCCUAGUCUCAGCUGCAUAUUGCCUGGAACAGAUCUGCUCCCUACAAUAGUGAUAGUGAAAGUGAUACUGACUCCUACUGUGUGAACAAGAGGCCCCAAAGGCCUCUGAUUUAAAGGCUGAAGAAAGAGUUUAGAGCACAGAACUGAAGGGAUCUACAAGAUGUGGUUUAAAGUUGCCACCGGCAUCUCCAUGACCUCUGGCUGCCCUCUGAGGCCCCACCAAGCUGGCUUUCUCAUCAGGGCCUGGGAGGAGCUGAACAAGGUUUCACUGGCAGCAGCUCCUAUUACAGGGCCAAAGAAGGCCUCCCUUAAUGGCCCCUCGGGGCCUCUGACACUUGAUCCUUAGUCACUGUCUUCCACUGACCUAAUGGGCCAGAAUAUGUCUUUCAGACUGGAAAAAUAUUUUUGAACUUGAAAGCGUGUAUGUUUUCUUCUAGAGAAAGCCCAUUCUAAUCAACCAAACUGGCCCUUGGUUUGUUCCUUCGCUUAUUCUUUCACCCCUUUUUAAGAGCCUAGUCCACUAGGCAGGAUGUAUGAAACUAAUUAAAGA
This is a long non-coding RNA of Chinchilla lanigera (long-tailed chinchilla), 778 nucleotides long. RefSeq lists it as uncharacterized. Lineage: Eukaryota; Metazoa; Chordata; Mammalia; Rodentia; Chinchillidae. The record is from RefSeq and is a predicted model, not a curated record. The transcript is spliced from 4 exons.